RNAcentral lists this ribosomal RNA (440 nucleotides) under uncultured bacterium. RNAcentral's name for it is "partial 16S ribosomal RNA". It matches the Rfam family "Bacterial small subunit ribosomal RNA", at positions 338 to 795 of the family's 1533-position model. The record is from RNAcentral.
CCUACGGGAGGCAGCAGUAAGGGAUAUUGGUCAAUGGGGGAAACUCUGAACCAGCAACGCCGCGUGAGGGAAGACGGUUUUCGGAUUGUAAACCUCUGUCCUCUGUGACGAUGAUGACGGUAGCAGAGGAGGAAGCCCCGGCUAACUACGUGCCAGCAGCCGCGGUAAUACGAAGGGAGCGAGCGUUGUCCGGAUUUACUGGGCGUAAAGGGUGCGUAGGCGGCUUGGCAAGUCAGUAGUGAAAUCCAAGGGCUUAACCUUUGAACUGCUAUUGAAACUGUCAGGCUUGAGUGAAGGAGAGGUAAGCGGAAUACCCGGUGUAGCGGUGAAAUGCGUAGAGAUCGGGAGGAACACCAGUGGCGAAGGCGACCAUCUGGGCUUAAACUGACGCUGAGGCUCGAAAGCAUGGGUAGCAAACAGGAUUAGAUACCCCUGUAGUC